GAUGAACGCUGGCGGCGUGCCUAAUACAUGCAAGUCGAGCGAACGGUCGAGAAGCUUGCUUCUCUGAUGUUAGCGGCGGACGGGUGAGUAACACGUGGAUAACCUACCUAUAAGACUGGGAUAACUUCGGGAAACCGUAGCUAAUACCGGAUAAUAUUUUGAACCGCAUGGUUCAAAAGUGAAAGACGGUCUUGCUGUCACUUAUAGAUGGAUCCGCGCUGCAUUAGCUAGUUGGUAAGGUAACGGCUUACCAAGGCAACGAUGCAUAGCCGACCUGAGAGGGUGAUCGGCCACACUGGAACUGAGACACGGUCCAGACUCCUACGGGAGGCAGCAGUAGGGAAUCUUCCGCAAUGGGCGAAAGCCUGACGGAGCAACGCCGCGUGAGUGAUGAAGGUCUUCGGAUCGUAAAACUCUGUUAUUAGGGGAGAACAUAUGUGUAAGUAACUGUGCACAUCUUGACGGUACCUAAUCAGAAAGCCACGGCUAACUACGUG
Molecule: ribosomal RNA, 497 nt
Filed under: uncultured bacterium
Lineage: Bacteria
Description: partial 16S ribosomal RNA
Rfam family: Bacterial small subunit ribosomal RNA
Source: RNAcentral